Molecule: ribosomal RNA, 497 nt
Filed under: uncultured bacterium
Lineage: Bacteria
Description: partial 16S ribosomal RNA
Rfam family: Bacterial small subunit ribosomal RNA
Source: RNAcentral
GAUGAACGCUGGCGGCGUGCCUAAUACAUGCAAGUCGAGCGAACAGACGAGGAGCUUGCUCCUCUGAUGUUAGCGGCGGACGGGUGAGUAACACGUGGAUAACCUACCUAUAAGACUGGGAUAACUUCGGGAAACCGGAGCUAAUACCGGAUAACAUGUUGAACCGCAUGGUUCAACAGUGAAAGACGGUCUUGCUGUCACUUAUAGAUGGAUCCGCGCCGCAUUAGCUAGUUGGUAAGGUAACGGCUUACCAAGGCAACGAUGCGUAGCCGACCUGAGAGGGUGAUCGGCCACACUGGAACUGAGACACGGUCCAGACUCCUACGGGAGGCAGCAGUAGGGAAUCUUCCGCAAUGGGCGGAAGCCUGACGGAGCAACGCCGCGUGAGUGAAGAAGGUCUUCGGAUCGUAAAACUCUGUUAUUAGGGAAGAACAAAUGUGUAAGUAACUAUGCACGUCUUGACGGUACCUAGUCAGAAAGCCACGGCUAACUACGUG